RNAcentral lists this long non-coding RNA (538 nucleotides) under Gossypium raimondii (Peruvian cotton). RNAcentral's name for it is "long non-coding RNA (GRAI_LNC010278)". The record is from RNAcentral. Lineage: Eukaryota; Viridiplantae; Streptophyta; Magnoliopsida; Malvales; Malvaceae.
UGAGCUUUGAGAUUGAACGGGUAACUUGGCGCUUGAACAGGUCCGCCGAGCACCCUGCCACUCGCCUUGAAUCUGCUUCCCAGCGGCCUAGACUUAGCAAGCAUGACCAAUAGCCGCCGGAUGAAAAAGAAGAGACACAAGACGCAAGCAGCAGGUGCACCAAGCAAGGCUAACUCUCUCUGUUUUAAACUAUUUGCUUGCUUUUGUUUUACAGAAAAGAGUUAGUUCCAUAGGGUUCCAAUGUCCUCCCAUACCCAAGAUUUUAUAGUAUGUAUUCUUUAGUUGUAUAAAGUCUUGAUCAAAAGGGAAUCACCAAUUACCUAUUUGAAUCUUACUGCAAAAUCAUGAUGCAUAGUUGCCAUUAUUGUUCAUUUUCCUAGAUUUGCUUACAAAGGGCUAUAGUGUAUGUCUUGAUCAAAGGGCAAUAUUACCUGUUUGAAUCAUUACUGCAAAAUCAUGAUGCAUAACUUUUGUCAUUGUUCAUCUUCUAGAUUUGCUUUCAAAGGGCUACUGCCAUGAUGAGUCACUCAACAUCUCC